UAAGGAAUAUUGGUCAAUGGACGCAAGUCUGAACCAGCCAUGCCGCGUGAAGGAUGAAGGUCCUCUGGAUUGUAAACUUCUUUUAUCUGGGACGAAAACGGGAUUUUUAUCUCAAUUGACGGUACCAGAGGAAUAAGCACCGGCUAACUCCGUGCCAGCAGCCGCGGUAAUACGGAGGGUGCGAGCGUUAUCCGGAUUUACUGGGCGUAAAGGGCGCGUAGGCGGCGCGGUAAGUCACUUGUGAAAUCUCUGAGCUUAACUCAGAACGGCCAAGUGAUACUGCUGUGCUAGAGUGCGGAAGAGGCAACCGGAAUUCUUGGUGUAGCGGUGAAAUGCGUAGAUAUCAAGAGGAACACCUGAGGCGAAGGCGGGUUGCUGGGCCGACACUGACGCUGAUGCGCGAAAGCCAGGGGAGCAAACG
This 421-nucleotide ribosomal RNA is filed under the name uncultured bacterium. RNAcentral describes it as "bacterial SSU rRNA". It matches the Rfam family "Bacterial small subunit ribosomal RNA", at positions 355 to 774 of the family's 1533-position model. The record is from RNAcentral.